CUUCGGGAAACCGGAGCUAAUACCGGAUAAUAUUUUGAACCGCAUGGUUCAAAAGUGAAAGACGGUCUUGCUGUCACUUAUAGAUGGAUCCGCGCUGCAUUAGCUAGUUGGUAAGGUAACGGCUUACCAAGGCAACGAUGCAUAGCCGACCUGAGAGGGUGAUCGGCCACACUGGAACUGAGACACGGUCCAGACUCCUACGGGAGGCAGCAGUAGGGAAUCUUCCGCAAUGGGCGAAAGCCUGACGGAGCAACGCCGCGUGAGUGAUGAAGGUCUUCGGAUCGUAAAACUCUGUUAUUAGGGAAGAACAUAUGUGUAAGUAACUGUGCACAUCUUGACGGUACCUAAUCAGAAAGCCACGGCUAACUACGUGCCAGCAGCCGCGGUAAUACGUAGGUGGCAAGCGUUAUCCGGAAUUAUUGGGCGUAAAGCGCGCGUAGGCGGUUUUUUAAGUCUGAUGUGAAAGCCCACGGCUCAACCGUGGAGGGUCAUUGGAAACUGGAAAACUUGAGUGCAGAAGAGGAAAGUGGAAUUCCAUGUGUAGCGGUGAAAUGCGCAGAGAUAUGGAGGAACACCAGUGGCGAAGGCGACUUUCUGGUCUGUAACUGACGCUGAUGUGCGAAAGCGUGGGGAUCAAACAGGAUUAGAUACCCUGGUAGUCCACGCCGUAAACGAUGAGUGCUAAGUGUUAGGGGGUUUCCGCCCCUUAGUGCUGCAGCUAACGCAUUAAGCACUCCGCCUGGGGAGUACGACCGCAAGGUUGAAACUCAAAGGAAUUGACGGGGACCCG
Molecule: ribosomal RNA, 790 nt
Filed under: Staphylococcus aureus
Lineage: Bacteria; Bacillati; Bacillota; Bacilli; Caryophanales; Staphylococcaceae
Description: bacterial SSU rRNA
Rfam family: Bacterial small subunit ribosomal RNA
Source: RNAcentral